RNAcentral lists this ribosomal RNA (244 nucleotides) under Salmonella enterica subsp. enterica serovar Derby. RNAcentral describes it as "partial 16S ribosomal RNA". It matches the Rfam family "Bacterial small subunit ribosomal RNA", at positions 1014 to 1258 of the family's 1533-position model. RNAcentral also lists the same sequence under 5 other names. The record is from RNAcentral. Lineage: Bacteria; Pseudomonadati; Pseudomonadota; Gammaproteobacteria; Enterobacterales; Enterobacteriaceae.
GUGCCUUCGGGAACUGUGAGACAGGUGCUGCAUGGCUGUCGUCAGCUCGUGUUGUGAAAUGUUGGGUUAAGUCCCGCAACGAGCGCAACCCUUAUCCUUUGUUGCCAGCGAUUAGGUCGGGAACUCAAAGGAGACUGCCAGUGAUAAACUGGAGGAAGGUGGGGAUGACGUCAAGUCAUCAUGGCCCUUACGACCAGGGCUACACACGUGCUACAAUGGCGCAUACAAAGAGAAGCGACCUCGC